This 265-nucleotide unclassified non-coding RNA is filed under the name uncultured Glomus. Its description in RNAcentral is "sequence contains 18S rRNA gene". It matches the Rfam family "Eukaryotic small subunit ribosomal RNA", at positions 569 to 841 of the family's 1831-position model. Lineage: Eukaryota; Fungi; Glomeromycota; Glomeromycetes; Glomerales; Glomeraceae. The record is from RNAcentral.
AGCAGCCGCGGUAAUUCCAGCUCCAAUAGCGUAUAUUAAAGUUGUUGCAGUUAAAAGCUCGUAGUUGAAUUUCGGGAUCAAUUAAUCGGUCGUGCCUCUGGUACGCACUGGUUUUAUUGGUUUCUCCCUUCUGACGAACCAGGAUGUCAUUAAUUUGGUGUCUUGGAGAAUCAGGACUGUUACUUUGAAAAAUUAGAGUGUUUAAAGCAGGCUAACGCUUGAAUACAUUAGCAUGGAAUAAUGAAAUAGGACGUUUGAUCCUAUU